Molecule: ribosomal RNA, 467 nt
Filed under: uncultured bacterium
Lineage: Bacteria
Description: partial 16S ribosomal RNA
Rfam family: Bacterial small subunit ribosomal RNA
Source: RNAcentral
GAUGAACGCUGGCGGCGCGCCUAACACAUGCAAGUCGAACGAUUAAAGCACCUUCGGGUGUGUAUAAAGUGGCGAACGGCUGAGUAACACGUGGGCAACCUGCCCCUUUCAUUGGGAUAGCCACGGGAAACCGUGGAUAAUACCGAAUACUUCGAGACUUCCGCAUGGAAGACUCGAGAAAGCUCCGGCGGAGAGGGAUGGGCCCGCGGCCUGUUAGCUUGUUGGUGGGGUAACGGCCUACCAAGGAAAUGAUGGGUAGCUGGGUUGAGAGACCGACCAGGCAGAUUGGGACUGAGACACGGCCCAGACUCCAACGGGAGGCAGCAGUGGGGAAUCUUGCACAAUGGGCGAAAGCCAGAUGCAGCGACGCCGCGUGCGGGAUGAAGGCCUUCGGGUUGUAAACCGAUUUCAGCAGGGACGAGGCGAAAGUGACGGUACCUGCAGAAGAAGCCCCGGCUAACUACGUG